UACGUAGGGGGCAAGCGUUAUCCGGAUUUACUGGGUGUAAAGGGAGCGUAGGCGGUGCAGCAAGUCAGAAGUGAAAGCCCGGGGCUCAACCCCGGGACUGCUUUUGAAACUGUUGAACUAGAUUGCAGGAGAGGUAAGUGGAAUUCCUAGUGUAGCGGUGAAAUGCGUAGAUAUUAGGAGGAACACCAGUGGCGAAGGCGGCUUACUGGACUGUAAAUGACGCUGAGGCUCGAAAGCGUGGGGAGCAAACAGG
RNAcentral lists this ribosomal RNA (253 nucleotides) under uncultured bacterium. RNAcentral's name for it is "partial 16S ribosomal RNA". It matches the Rfam family "Bacterial small subunit ribosomal RNA", at positions 524 to 776 of the family's 1533-position model. The record is from RNAcentral.